RNAcentral lists this non-coding RNA (116 nucleotides) under Desulfuribacillus alkaliarsenatis. Its description in RNAcentral is "MoCo sequence". It matches the Rfam family "Molybdenum/Tungsten riboswitch aptamer (Moco RNA motif)". The record is from Rfam by way of RNAcentral. Lineage: Bacteria; Bacillati; Bacillota; Desulfuribacillia; Desulfuribacillales; Desulfuribacillaceae.
AUAACUGCAUGUCUCCGAGCUCUUUUGCCUAAGGUUUACUACGGUAAAUUUGCCGAUAGGGUUAUACUGGAAACGGUAUAGCCUCCCCAUUGGAAAGGAGAUACGGAUGUAAGUAA